RNAcentral lists this transfer RNA (71 nucleotides) under Verrucomicrobiales bacterium. RNAcentral describes it as "tRNA-Gln". It matches the Rfam family "tRNA". From Rfam's summary of the family: Transfer RNA (tRNA) molecules are approximately 80 nucleotides in length. The record is from RNAcentral. Lineage: Bacteria; Pseudomonadati; Verrucomicrobiota; Verrucomicrobiia; Verrucomicrobiales.
AGUCCGAUGGUGUAAUGGUAGCACAGGGCUCUUUGACAGCUCUAGUCAUGGUUCGAAUCCAUGUCGGACUG